CGUGUUAUAAUUGUGGGAGAUAUGGUCAUUUAGCGAGAGAUUGUUAUCAAACCGGUGGCGGCAGUAUAGGAAGUAGGAGAUACGACGGCGGCGGAUACUCCGGUGGAGGAGGAGGAGGGGCAUGUUACAAUUGCGGUGAGGAAGGUCAUUUUGCUAGAGAUUGCCCUAAUACUGAUCAAAACUGAAACAAUGUGGGUGUU
RNAcentral lists this unclassified non-coding RNA (200 nucleotides) under Hevea brasiliensis (rubber tree). Lineage: Eukaryota; Viridiplantae; Streptophyta; Magnoliopsida; Malpighiales; Euphorbiaceae. The record is from RNAcentral.